This 433-nucleotide unclassified non-coding RNA is filed under the name uncultured Russula. Its description in RNAcentral is "sequence contains ITS2". The stretch from base 1 to 154 matches the Rfam family "5.8S ribosomal RNA". The record is from RNAcentral. Lineage: Eukaryota; Fungi; Basidiomycota; Agaricomycetes; Russulales; Russulaceae.
AACUUUUAGCAAUGGAUCACUUGGCUCUCGCAUCGAUGAAGAACGCAGCGAAAUGCGAUACGUAAUGUGAAUUGCAGAAGUCAGUGAAUCAUCGAAUCUUUGAACGCACCUUGCGCCCCUUGGAAUUCCGAGGGGCACACCCGUUUGAGUGUCGGGAACAUCCUUCAACCUUUCUUUGUUUCUUGACCGGGGAAGGCUUGGACGUUGGGUGUCUUUCAUUGAUGGCCUCUUUGAAGCCAGCUCCUCAUAAGUGGACUACUGUGCUCUGAUUGGCCGAUCCUUGACGUGAUAAGAUGUUUCUACGUCUUGGGUUUCGCACUGUCGCUUUAGACCCCGCUUCUAACCGUCUUGCAUUCAAGACAGAGUUUUAAACCUUGACCUCAAAUAGGGUGAGACUACCCGCUGAACUUAAGCAUAUCAAUAAGCGGAGGCU